Haplochromis burtoni (Burton's mouthbrooder) is the source of this 4582-nucleotide long non-coding RNA. RefSeq lists it as uncharacterized. NCBI's taxonomy places the organism in Eukaryota, Metazoa, Chordata, Actinopteri, Cichliformes, Cichlidae. The transcript is spliced from 3 exons. The record is from RefSeq and is a predicted model, not a curated record.
UUGCUUUUAACACAUUAUAUAUGAAAUAUAACCCCAGCUAGUUCCUUCAAACUGACAUCACACACUAUCUUCACAAAUGCACACUUAGACAGCGUGACGAAGCAAGCUGCAUGAAACAGUGUGCUUGACUAUAUAUUAUUUAAUGGGAUUUUAUGGGCUGCACACUGAGGCACAAACACACACACACACACGAACAAAUAAAAGGGUUUACGUGGAGUGGUUGAUGGCGAGUGAACAGGCCAGAAGAGAUGGAAGAAGCACACCGGGGGGAAUGAUGAGAGGAAAUGAUGCGCAUGAUGAGUGCUGAAUGGUUGGCCAGUGGGACAGACCCUGUCAGACUGUCUGCUAAAGGGGUGGAAGACACAGAGAGAGAGAGAUGGCUGCAGAGAGGACAAGAAGGAGAGACAGAGAGAGCACAAAACAGCAGGAGCAAAAUGAUGAUCAGUGUCAAAAUUCUAUUACUCUGUGACAACCAACCAAGGUUUCCCCUGUCUCGUUCACGAGCACAGUGACUGUGCUCCAUCUCUGUCGCGCGGCUACAGCAGACCGCCGGGCGAUUACUAACUCGGAGGUUUCGCACAUAGAAAAGCAGGCCAUGAAUUUUAGAAGCUGCUUCAGUCACAAGACGACAGCCCAUCAUGAAGCAAGAAACCAGUGGCCUUUAUUUUCCCUGCCAUGGUCCUUGACAUCGUCUGAAUGGCAGUGAAGAAGAAAUCUACCAAGACAACAGAGGCAGGCAGACAGGGCGAGGGGAGAGGAGCGAAGAAGAGAGGCAGAAAAAAGAAGACAGACAGACAUGAUCUGGGGACAGAAUAAAGGAGAAAGGCCGCAUCACCGUCAAUAAGAAAAAGACUCCAACAACCACCUUGUGUCAAUGUCAAGUCUGUAAAAAACACACCGCAUGAAAGCCAGAGAGAGUUCUUAAACCACACGCAGGAGCAAAGGGUGGACCGGACUGAGAACACUGUCACUCACGAGGUAGCCAUGUCCACAAGCACAUUCUGUUUGCUGUCUAUUUAACUCCAACUCUCUCUCUCUGUUAAACAGAGCCAGAGACCAUAAAAUCAUCAGUUUUCCCCCCUUGGGUCUCAAACAAGUAAGGAGGAAGUUUGUUUUCUCAUAGACUUCAGGGGUAGCUGUAGCUCAGGAGGUAGGGCACCAGUCAGAAGGCCUGUGGUCCGAUCCUUGGCUCCUCCAGCGUACAAGCUCAGGCGCAUCUUUGAGCUAGGAUGUUAAACUCAGUGUUUUCCCUGAAGCAUCCACUGGAUUAUGAGCGUGAGUGUGUGUGUGAAUGUUAGGCAAGGUGCUUAGGCGCAGAAAAAAAGCUCUUGUAUAAAUGUGUGUGAUUGGGUGAAUGCGACUAACAUUAAAAAGCACUUUGAAUUCUCAGUUAGAGUACAAAAGUACUAUACAAGUACAAGUACAUUUGUAGAAUCUUUAGACUUCCUUUUGCAACCAGAGGCUGGACCUCCUGACAGCAACCUCAGACAGUGCAGCUUUGUCUGUGUUAACAUGAAUGCUCACACUAGCACCCUGACAAUUAACCAAAACUGUACCCAAACAUAGUGGACAUAAUGACAUAAAAACAAUUUUAGGACCAUAAUUUGUACUUUUGAGAGCAGCACGUACAAAACAGGACCGAUCUGUUUUGUUUUUUCCAAACAAACGACACUGUUUAAUGAUUUAACAACGUCGUCAAUUCUCAAACUCGGCUCAAACGAAGACUUAUAGCUGUGCUUGGAUGUUUUCUGUUGAUUUUUGCGCUUUGCACCAGCAGCGCCCGGUGCAUGUAGCAUCCCAGCUGUUGUAAAAGCAAAACCAGAUAUAGCCAGCUGGGUUCACAAUUUAUCAGGUUACAGUAUAAUGUCAUUAUAUCACAAGUUAGUGGGAGCAGCUGGAGAGGCGGCAUCAGGAAAAAGGGAAGAGAGAGAGAUUGCCUAACGCUGAUGCAUUGUUGAGUCAGGGCUUUGAUUAGGUGUGCUCUCAUCCUGGAAGUAGAUUGCAGCAUCAUUUUGUAAAAUUCAUUCACUUGUUCCAAGUCCCUUGACACAAGCUGCUAGCAACUAUCAAGCGUAACCCACAAGAAUCAAACUAUGCAAGAUUAAGAUUCAUAUUAAGAAACAAGUUGUAGAGUAAUAAAAAUAUUAAUAAUAACGACAUUAUUAUUAUUUUUAUUAUUAGAUGAAGAAAAAUAAUAAAUAAAAAGACAACAAAAACAAAGCAAAGCUAUUCUACAAGUGUCUGUCUGCAUGAUUGACUCUAGGAAAGUAUCCGUGUGUGUCGACUAUAUAUUUUUAUCACAGUGAGUGCUGUGGUAAUAUUGCAGAGCUGCGAUGAGCACCAUCAGCCCUCUGUGGCACAUCGGGGACAGCUGGAUGUUGUCAGGCAGCUAUAAUGCUGAUGAAAACGGGCUGAUUGCAGCUCGCGGGCUCCUCCCACUUAUAAAUCAGCUUCACAGCACUCAGGGGUGGAAUAGAGCAGCGACAAGCCGUGUCACACCUAGUGUACCGCAUAGGUACUCUGCAGCAAACUGUAUGUCCAUAUAUCUGUCGUGCUGUGCUAGUGAUACAGGAAUAUUAGCCAAAAUGUAACAUUUAGAAUCAUGACCAUCACCUGCUUUUCUCACACAGUGUGCAUCACUGUCAUAAUAAAAUCAGUCACAUGCAUGCUUGUUAUAUUUUUGCUUUUUUGCAGCCUUUUAAAAAUCAAAAGAAUGACAAGUUGAUACUGAAGGCUUUAACGCAUUAAGACAAAAACGGUCUUAUAUCGUGUUACUCAGUGACAACGUUCAGUGAUGUUCGGCCUUUUCUCUCGGCGGUGUUGAACGUGAGCUGAGAGGGAUUUACACCACCCACAUGGGCCGCACCACCGUCACACACAUUUGAAAUUAGAAAGCAUAGUUGUGGCAUGCAGCUCCAAAAGCAGUAUCAUUCUAAUUAGUGAGCUUUGGCUCCGCUUCAGAAACAAAUUGAGAUGUAAAAGGUCUCAACAUAUUUUUUUUUCUCAUAAUGGCGUUGGACUUGAUUGACGUCAGCACCUUUGAGAAUGUAAAUUCACAAAUAUGACAUUGCUCAGGUGUACGACGCCUGUUAUCUAAUGUACCUCGAAUCAUUUUUGCAGUCAGCGGUAUAAAAAGAUGUUUAAAUGUGCAUCAGUGAAGUUUUAUAAACCCUCAGCGGAAUGAUGCAUGCAGCGUGAGCAAAUUAACCUGAACUAUUUAUCAUUCACUGGCAGGUAGCACACACAGUAAAAAGGGCUUGUAUUCGAAUUCAUUCGUUAUCUCAUUUUCAGCGGUGUUACAGAAAAAAAUAUAAUUAAAAACAACAUAAUCUAUCAUUCACUAUUGACCUUUUAACAAAGUCUACUUGAAUUAAUUGUGCUGAGAAAUUACCAGAUGCCCAAAGGGCGAGCACACACAACAAUGAAAAAAAAAUAUUGUUUUGAACUGUCAAGUAGAACUGGCACCUUGCCUUGUUUGAGGCCUCAGAGAGGGUAUUUUUUUCAUUAGCACAGCUGAAACCAUAAUAUGAUACCUUUUUUGUGGCCAUUAUCCAAGCCGAGCUUUGAUGACAUUCAUUUCCACUACAGCAGCAGGGCAGAUAAGGUUUUUGGUGGCAGAGCACCAAAACAACAGUCUCUUCCUCCUCCUCCUCCUCUAACCCGAGCAUCUCUCAAACCCAAGAGAAACUAAAACAACUUGAAAAGUCAUUGAGCUCUCACUAGUUUUUUAACAUCUACCAUUUUUUUGUGGUUUGAACUUUUGUGUCGCUGCUGACUUGCUGAACACUUUAAAAACCUUCCCACUAGAGAUCCAGCGGAUUGCUAACUGCUAACAGCUUUUCCCACAGUGACACCGAUCCCAGUGUUGUUGGGGCAGAUAACAAACAAACAUUGUCCAAAUGUCUCAAAACAGUGCACACUAAUUGGCCACUUCAUUAGGCACACUUGAAAGAGUUGCCAACUGCUCUUUAGGAGAAAUAUCUAAUUAGCCAAUCACAUGGCAGUAAUUCAUGCAUUUAAACACAUAGAUACGGCCAAGAAAACCUGCUGAAGUUCAAAGUGAGCAUCACAAUGAGGAAGAAAGGUGAAUUAAGUGGCAGUAAACCUUGCCGUUGUUGUUAGUGUGAGUGUGUCAGAAUCUGCUGCUCUGCUGAGGUUUUCCUACAAAACCAUCUCUGGGGUUUAUAAAAAACUGUCUGAAAAGAGAAAAUAUCCAGUGAGCAGCAGUUCUCUGGGUCUGGAUGCCUUGUUGAUGUCAGACGUCAGAGGAAAGUGGCCAUACUGCUUUGGGCUGAUAGGAAGGAAACCUGAACACACCACACAUGUAACCUUGAAGCAGAUGGGCUACAGCAGCAGAACACUUGUGUCAGCAAAGAACAGGAAACCAAGGCUUCAGUUCACAAAACAUGAGCACAUUACAACUGCGCUCGGCUCUUCAUAAUGGUUGCCUGUCCAUUUCAUUGUUGUUCUUGAAGUUUUAUUGUUUGCUUUUCAACAUUUGAGGUCUUCAAAUCACAUUUAAAAAUACACAUUUUCUCCAUGACAAUUAGCUUCUAGUCAGUUUGAGUCAAUAUUUGGACAC